GCAUCUGUGUGGCAGCAAUGCAGGACAAGCCUGAGAGUCAGCCAUAUUGCUCUGUGCGGUGUUCAAAUAUCUGUGGGUUUUGCACCCCCUAAUUUGUUGUUCUCUAUUUGCAGGUAGUGAAGUCUAAGUUCGCCAGACCGCACCACGUGAUCAAGAUGAAAAGAUCCAAGAACCAUAUUGUGGGGAAAUACUUCAGCAGUCAAAGCAAACUGAAGCAACACAAUUCUGCCCCAAAUGUUCACUCACCAUAUCAUGUCAGAGGCCCGAUAAACCAGGUUUGUGCUGAAAUCCUGCUCAGCAGGAUGUGUGUGAGUCAGAGGUCUGCGCGGGUUCCCUGAAGGAGAACCCAGUUCACAGUUAGACAUAACCUUUCACCUGGACCUGAGAGCCAAACGUGCCUGACACAUACUUUGCAAUGACGACCCUCACCAGUGCAAGCAUGCACAGCAAAGCACACAGCCCACAGACACGCAAUGACACACUUUUCUGAUGUCUAUACACACUCAGAAGUGACCUUGAGCAUCCGUUAGUUUCAGGUCGAAGCACAGAGCUAUACAGAGAUCACUUGAACUGUGAUCACAAAGGACGACCGUGUGGACCAGGUAUUGGACUGCAAUGAUAAAAGGAAAGACAGAAAUGCAACCGCGUGGGGAUAGGGCGAUGCUGGUUCUGUGCUCUCCUCGACAUAGGAGGAGAAAAAAUGUUUUUCUACCAAUGAAAAAACGUCGAAGAAGCAAAUACAUUCCACAUGUAGGGAAGAAUAACACCGAAGUUCUCUACCGGGAGAAGCGGGGUAUUUACGGUGAUUUGAACUUUGUGGAUCCAAUGCUUAUGAAAAACACUUCUUAUGCUUUUAAAAUGGUACGAUGGAAGGGAGAGAACAGGAGUGAUUCUCUACAGUGGAAUUCAGAGAUUCUCCGAGAGCAAUAAGAAGCAACGUUAUAUUCAACUCUGAGUUCCUGUGUGUUCCUCAAAGAUCCCCCCACCCGUCUGUGAGCUUAGAUGGGAAGCACAGUCUAAGUGGAGGAUGUGCAUACUUUUAAAGUGUGGUACAAAAUAAAGUUCCCCGCCUGUUAUGCUGUAUAUUUGUGGAUGCUGUUACUAAGGAAGCCUUUACUGCCUUUACCUGCCCCUAUAGACCUAUUUAUUUUAAGACAAUGGUUACAUUUCAGAUAUUGUGCAAAGGAUUGCAGAUUCUCAAAUGUAAAAGCAUGAAGCCUUUCCUAUAUAUCCACAAAUAGUACUAUUUGACUAGUAUUAUAUUCUUCUUUGAACAAACAUGUUUAAUUCGAAUUAGAGAAUAGGCACACAAGUAUUUUGAUGAGAAUUGUGGUAUAGGUAUGGAAUGUACCCAGUGCUAGCAUUGAAAACUCUCUCUUCUGUCUUCUUAGGCACAAGAUGGCAGAUUUCCUUAUUAUACAAAUUCUUUGUUGGGAGAUAACAUUUCACUGCCAUGGUGGGUUUUAAAGGAUGAUCUGGGCAUGAGGAAAUGAAGCUGAGUGGGAUAACUCAGAACGUAGAUGAGAUUACUAAAUAUUCAAAUACCUCAAGUUCAUCGCCAUAAAAAAAAAUGAAACUAUUUUGACCUAUUGACCCAUCAAUUAUUUAGAAUGAAUUUCCACCUCUGCCAAAUGCUCUAUUUUUAUAUAUAUUUUAUAAGAAUAUAAACAUGAAUUUAUAUUUUACUGUAUUAAAUUAUAUUUAAGUACAAAUAUCACUUGAUAUAAACAUUAUAUGCAUUUAGAAAUAGAUUUUUUGAACAAUGGUACUGAAUUAACUUAAAAAUGAAGUAUUUUUCAUAUUUACAUCUAUAUACAAACACCAUUUUUAGGUUUUGCAGUUAUUUUUCCGUGAUAGAACAUGUUAGCAAUCGAUGUAGCUUUUCCAGUCAACUGUCGAUGGACUGCAUAUUCACCCACGCUGCCCAGCUAGCGCUAAGCCUCACUCUCCUCAUAACUGUGGAAACCCUCCGAAUCAAGUUGGUCUGGCAUUUUCCUCUUCACCAUUGAAAUAAUACUAGAUUUUUGAAAGAACUGUCAUGUGUUAUCAAUAAAUGUCUAGUUUGUAAUCAUCUGUGUUCAGAUGAUUUUACAAC
RNAcentral lists this long non-coding RNA (2095 nucleotides) under Rattus norvegicus (Norway rat). RNAcentral describes it as "long non-coding RNA NONRATT020278". Lineage: Eukaryota; Metazoa; Chordata; Mammalia; Rodentia; Muridae. The record is from RNAcentral.